Molecule: ribosomal RNA, 460 nt
Filed under: Streptococcus sp. oral taxon C14
Lineage: Bacteria; Bacillati; Bacillota; Bacilli; Lactobacillales; Streptococcaceae
Description: bacterial SSU rRNA
Rfam family: Bacterial small subunit ribosomal RNA
Source: RNAcentral
AUUGAACGCUGGCGGCAGGCUUAACACAUGCAAGUCGAACGGUAACAUAAAGAAGCUUGCUUCUUUGAUGACGAGUGGCGGACGGGUGAGUAAUGCUUGGGAAUCUAGCUUAUGGAGGGGGAUAACUACGGGAAACUGUAGCUAAUACCGCGUAAUAUCGAAAGAUUAAAGUGUGGGACCUUCGGGCCACAUGCCAUAGGAUGAGCCCAAGUGGGAUUAGGUAGUUGGUGAGGUAAAGGCUCACCAAGCCGACGAUCUCUAGCUGGUCUGAGAGGAUGACCAGCCACACUGGGACUGAGACACGGCCCAGACUCCUACGGGAGGCAGCAGUGGGGAAUAUUGCGCAAUGGGGGCAACCCUGACGCAGCCAUGCCGCGUGAAUGAAGAAGGCCUUCGGGUUGUAAAGUUCUUUCGGUAGCGAGGAAGGCAUUUAGUUUAAUAGACUAGGUGAUUGACGUAA